Molecule: ribosomal RNA, 2337 nt
Filed under: Triticum aestivum (bread wheat)
Lineage: Eukaryota; Viridiplantae; Streptophyta; Magnoliopsida; Poales; Poaceae
Description: partial small subunit ribosomal RNA
Source: RNAcentral
GUACCUGUAGACCUUGUUGUGGAUCAUUCAGUACAAGUUGAUGUGGCAAGAUCGGAGAAUGCUGUUCAGGCAAAUAUGGAGCUUGAGUUCAGCCGUAACAAGGAGCGGUUUGGAUUUUUGAAAUGGGGUUCCACUGCAUUCAAUAACAUGCUUGUUGUUCCACCUGGAUCUGGAAUUGUUCACCAGGUGAAUCUUGAAUAUCUGGCCAGGGUUGUCUUCAACAAUGGUGGGAUACUUUACCCUGAUAGUGUUGUCGGUACAGAUUCGCACACAACUAUGAUAGAUGGUCUUGGUGUUGCUGGAUGGGGAGUUGGUGGUAUAGAGGCAGAAGCUACGAUGCUUGGGCAGCCAAUGAGCAUGGUCUUGCCAGCAGUUGUUGGUUUCAAGUUAUCAGGGAAGCUGAGGAAUGGAGUUACAGCCACAGACUUGGUUCUAACAGUAACUCAAAUGCUUAGGAAACAUGGUGUUGUUGGGAAGUUUGUUGAAUUUUAUGGGGGAGGUAUGGGUGAACUAUCACUUGCUGAUAGGGCUACUAUCGCCAACAUGGCACCAGAAUAUGGUGCAACUAUGGGUUUCUUCCCAGUUGAUGCAAAGACAUUGGACUACCUGAAGCUAACUGGCAGAAGUGAUGAAACUGUGGCCAUGAUAGAGACUUACCUGCGUGCCAAUAAUAUGUUCGUCGACUACAAGCAGGUUCAAGCUGAAAGAGUGUAUUCAUCUUAUCUGGAACUUGACUUGGAUGAGGUGGAACCAUGUCUGUCCGGACCAAAACGGCCUCAUGAUAGAGUGACAUUGAAGAACAUGAAGUCAGAUUGGCUUUCUUGCCUGGACAACAAAGUAGGGUUCAAGGGUUUUGCUGUCCCCAAGGAAUCGCAGGGUAAAGUUGCUGAGUUUUCGUUCCGUGGGACGCCAGCAAAGAUAAAGCAUGGUGAUGUUGUAAUUGCGGCUAUCACCAGUUGCACCAACACAUCAAAUCCUAAUGUGAUGCUGGGAGCUGCUUUGGUUGCCAAAAAGGCUUGUGACCUAGGCCUGGAGGUGAAACCAUGGAUUAAGACAAGUCUUGCGCCAGGUUCUGGUGUUGUGAAGAAGUACUUGGACAAGAGCGGUCUGCAGAAGUAUCUUAACCAGCUUGGUUUCAAUAUUGUUGGCUAUGGGUGUACAACCUGCAUAGGAAACUCUGGAGAUCUUGAUGAAUCCGUAGCUGCUGCAAUUACCGACAAUGAUGUUGUUGCUGCUGCUGUGUUGUCUGGGAACAGGAAUUUCGAAGGCCGUGUACAUGCAUUGACCCGAGCAAAUUAUCUCGCAUCUCCUCCAUUGGUUGUGGCCUAUGCCCUUGCUGGCACGGUUAAUAUUGAUUUUGAGAAAGAACCAGUAGGCAUCUCAAAGGAUGGGAAGGAGGUUUACUUCAGGGAUAUUUGGCCUACCACUGAUGAGAUUGCUGAGGUUGUUAAGGCGAGUGUGCUCCCAGACAUGUUCAAGGGCACAUAUGAGGCAAUCACCAAAGGAAAUCCUAUGUGGAAUGAGCUGCCAGUAUCAGCAAGCACUCUCUACCCAUGGGAUCCAAAAUCAACAUACAUCCACGAGCCUCCUUAUUUCAAGGAUAUGACAAUGACCCCUCCUGGCGCACGGCCUGUGAAGGAUGCGUAUUGUCUUCUUAACUUCGGUGACAGUAUCACAACUGAUCACAUAUCCCCAGCUGGAAGCAUCCACCCAGACAGCCCAGCUGCCAAAUAUCUAAAGGAGCGCAAUGUUGAAAGGAAGGACUUCAACUCAUAUGGCAGUCGACGAGGGAACGAUGAGAUCAUGGCUAGGGGAACUUUUGCCAACAUUCGUAUUGUGAACAAGUUCUUGAAGGGAGAGGUUGGCCCCCAAACCAUCCAUGUACCAUCAGGGGAGAAGCUUGCUGUUUUUGAUGCUGCUAUGAAAUACAAGAACGAAGGGCAUGACACUAUCAUCCUGGCUGGUGCUGAGUAUGGCAGUGGAAGCUCAAGGGAUUGGGCUGCGAAGGGUCCAAUGCUUCAGGGAGUGAAGGCUGUGAUAGCCAAGAGUUUUGAGAGGAUUCACCGUAGCAAUCUCGCUGGAAUGGGCAUCGUCCCUCUAUGCUUCAAGGCUGGGGAGGAUGCCGACACUCUUGGCUUAACAGGCCAUGAGCGCUACACCAUCCAGCUUCCGACUGAUGUGAAUGAAAUCAAGCCUGGCCAAGAUGUUACGGUCACAACCGACAACGGCAAGUCGUUCACCUGCACACUCCGCUUUGACACUGAGGUGGAGCUUGCUUACUACACCCAUGGUGGUAUUCUACCAUAUGUCAUCCGAAAGAUCGCAGCCGAGCAAUAG